ACAACGUGAACCUAUGGAGGGGGAUAACCCCGGGAAACUGGGGAUAAUACCCCAUAGACUAUGGAUGCUGGAAUGCUCUGUAGUUGAAAGGUCCGCCGCCAUAGGAUGGGUCUGCGGCCGAUUAGGUUGUUGUUGGGGUAACGGCCCAACAAGCCUGUAAUCGGUACGGGUUGUGGGAGCAAGAGCCCGGAGAUGGAUUCUGAGACACGAAUCCAGGCCCUACGGGGCGCAGCAGGCGCGAAAACUUUACAAUGCGGGAAACCGUGAUAAGGGAACUCCGAGUGCCCGUAAAAUCGGGCUGUCCAUCUGUUUAAAUAACAGGUGAAGAAAGGGCCGGGCAAGACCGGUGCCAGCCGCCGCGGUAAUACCGGCGGCUCGAGUGGUGGCCACUAUUACUGGGCUUAAAGCGUUCGUAGCUGGUUUGUUAAGUCUCUGGGGAAAUCUGCCGGCUCAACCGGCAGGCGUUCCAGGGAUACUGGCAGACUAAGGACCGGGAAAGGUGAGGGGUACUCCAGGGGUAGGAGUGAAAUCCUGUAAUCCUUGGGGGACCACCUGUGGGCGAAGGCGUCUCACCAGAGCGGCUCCGACAGUGAGGGACGAAAGCUGGGGGAGCAAACCGGAUUAGAUACCCGGGUAGUCCCAGCUGUAAACGAUGCGCGUCAGGUGUAUCGGUGACCACGAGUCACCGAGGUGCCGAAGAGAAAUCGUGAAACGUGCCGCCUGGGAAGUACGGUCGCAAGGCUGAAACUUAAU
RNAcentral lists this ribosomal RNA (753 nucleotides) under uncultured archaeon. RNAcentral describes it as "bacterial SSU rRNA". It matches the Rfam family "Archaeal small subunit ribosomal RNA", at positions 104 to 860 of the family's 1478-position model. The record is from RNAcentral.